AAUCAAACUUGGAGAUAGCUCGUACUCCCCGAAAUGCAUUUAGGUGCAGCCUCGGGUAAAGUACUGAUGAGAGGUAGAGCGACUGAUUGGAUGCGAGGGCUUCACCGCCUAUCAAGUCCGGCCAAACUCCGAAUGCUCAUCAGCAACAUCCCGGGAGUGAGGGCAUGGGUGCUAAGGUCCAUGUCCGAGAGGAGAAGAAUCCAGAUCACCGGCUAAGGUCCCCAAAUAGCAGCUAAGUUGCAUUAACGAAGUCCGACCGCAGCGACAGCCAGGAUGUUGGCUUGGAAGCAGCCAUUCAUUUAAAGAGUGCGUAACAGCUCACUGGUCGAGGGGUCGGGCAUGGAUAAUAAUCGGGCAUAAGCUGUUUACCGAAGCCGUGAGAUCGAAAAGAUCGGUAGGGGAGCAUUCCAUUAUCAGCGUUGAAGAUGAGAGGUGACUCUUGUUGGAGCGGAUGGAAAAGCAAAUGCAGGUAUAAGUAACGAUAAAGGGGGUGAAAAACCUCCUCGCCGAAAGACCAAGGGUUCCUGAUCAACGCUAAUCGGAUCAGGGUUAGUCGGGACCUAAGGCUAAGCCGAAGGGCGAUGCCGAUGGAAGAACCGGUUAAUAUUCCGGUACUGCUUUGUGGAGUGAUGUGGAGACGGAGAAGUGACAGCUCGGCCAUCUGACGGAAUAGGUGGUUAAAGGGUGUAGAUGUCGAUUGUUGUAGGCAAAUCCGCAACAAGAGUUGAACCUGAAAGUAUGCAGCGUACUUGUACAAUGUAAUAAGAGCGUAAUCAGGCUCCCAAGAAAACCCGCUAAACAUAUCUUCAAAGCACCCGUACUCGAAACGGACACACGUGGUCGGGUUGAAAAUACUAAGGCGCUCGAGUGAUUCACGGUUAAGGAACUAGGCAAAAUGGUCCUGUAACUUCGGGAUAAAGGACGCCAAUAGCAAUAUUGGUCGCAGAGAAUAGGCCCAGGCGACUGUUUAACAAAAACACAUGACUAUGCAAAAUCGAAAGAUGAGGUAUAUGGUCUGACACCUGCCCGGUGCUGGAAGGUUAAGAGGAGAUGUCAUCCGCAAGGAGAAGCAUUGAAUUGAAGCCCCAGUAAACGGCGGCCGUAACUAUAACGGUCCUAAGGUAGCGAAAUUCCUUGUCGGGUAAGUUCCGACCUGCACGAAUGGUGUAACGAUCUGGGCACUGUCUCAACUGUGAGCUCGGUGAAAUUGUAGUAUCGGUGAAGAUGCCGAUUACCCGCGAUGGGACGAAAAGACCCCGUGAACCUUUACUAUAGCUUUACAUUGAAAUUGGGCAUGCGAUGUGUAGGAUAGGCCGGAGGCUGAGAGACGGUGACGCCAGUCAUCGUGGAGCCGCUGUUGAAAUACGGCCCUUUGUGUGUUUGGUUUCUAACUCCCGAGAUAGGGAGGACGGUGUAUGGUGGGUAGUUUGACUGGGGUGGUCGCCUCCAAAAGCGUAACGGAGGCUUCUAAAGGUUCCCUCAGCACGCUUGGUAACCGUGCGUAGAGUGCAAUGGCAUAAGGGAGCUUGACUGAGAGACCUACAAGUCGAUCAGGUACGAAAGUAGAGCAUAGUGAUCCGGUGGUUCCGUAUGGAAGGGCCAUCGCUCAAAGGAUAAAAGGUACUCCGGGGAUAACAGGCUGAUCCCUCCCAAGAGCUCAUAUCGACGGAGUGGUUUGGCACCUCGAUGUCGGCUCGUCACAUCCUGGGGCUGGAGAAGGUCCCAAGGGUUGGGCUGUUCGCCCAUUAAAGUGGCACGCGAGCUGGGUUCAGAACGUCGUGAGACAGUUCGGUCUCUAUCUAUCGUGGGCGUAAGAUAUUUGCGGGGAUCCUGACACUAGUACGAGAGGACCGUGUCGGACAGACCUCUGAUAUGCCGGUUGUUUCGCCAGGAGCACAGCCGGGUAGUUAAGUCUGGAAAGGAUAAGUGCUGAAAGCAUCUAAGUACGAAGCCUUCCUCAAGAUGAGAUAUCCAUUAAAGGGUCGU
This 1986-nucleotide ribosomal RNA is filed under the name human metagenome. RNAcentral's name for it is "bacterial LSU rRNA". It matches the Rfam family "Bacterial large subunit ribosomal RNA", at positions 831 to 2838 of the family's 2925-position model. The record is from RNAcentral.